AGGUCAUUUUGUAGGGCUUGUGGGGCUGUGAAACCAAGAGCUCUUAAUGUCUAUGACCAAAUAUUGAAGUCUUCCACAGGAUGUGAUAGCCACCAGGAAACACAAGA
This 107-nucleotide small nucleolar RNA is filed under the name Gorilla gorilla gorilla (western lowland gorilla). RNAcentral describes it as "Small nucleolar RNA SNORA25 (ENSGGOG00000035824.2)". The record is from RNAcentral. Lineage: Eukaryota; Metazoa; Chordata; Mammalia; Primates; Hominidae.